GGAUGAGCCCGCGGCCUACCAGCUUGUUGGUGGGGUAAUGGCCUACCAAGGCGUCGACGGGUAGCCGGCCUGAGAGGGUGGACGGCCACAUUGGGACUGAGACACGGCCCAGACUCCUACGGGAGGCAGCAGUGGGGAAUAUUGCACAAUGGGCGCAAGCCUGAUGCAGCGACGCCGCGUGGGGGAUGACGGCCUUCGGGUUGUAAACUCCUUUCAACCAUGACGAAGCUUUCGGGUGACGGUAGUGGUAGAAGAAGCACCGGCUAACUACGUGCCAGCAGCCGCGGC
RNAcentral lists this ribosomal RNA (288 nucleotides) under uncultured bacterium TA9. Its description in RNAcentral is "partial 16S ribosomal RNA". It matches the Rfam family "Bacterial small subunit ribosomal RNA", at positions 223 to 521 of the family's 1533-position model. The record is from RNAcentral.